GCCCAGAUAGCUUAGUUGGUAGAGCAGAGGACUGAAAAUCCUCGUGUCGCUGGUUCGAUUCCGGCUCUGGGCA
This 73-nucleotide transfer RNA is filed under the name Blautia producta. Its description in RNAcentral is "tRNA-Phe". It matches the Rfam family "tRNA". From Rfam's summary of the family: Transfer RNA (tRNA) molecules are approximately 80 nucleotides in length. Their secondary structure includes four short double-helical elements and three loops (D, anti-codon, and T loops). The record is from RNAcentral. Lineage: Bacteria; Bacillati; Bacillota; Clostridia; Lachnospirales; Lachnospiraceae.